CUACGGGCGGCAGCAGUCGAGAAUCUUCCGCAAUGGACGAAAGUCUGACGGAGCGACGCCGCGUGCGGGAUGAAGGCCUUCGGGUUGUAAACCGCUGUCAGUGGGGAGGAAAUGCAUCAGGGUUCUCCCUGGUGUUUGACCGAUCCGCAGAGGAAGCGCAGGCUAAGUUCGUGCCAGCAGCCGCGGUAACACGAACUGCGCGAACGUUAUUCGGAAUCACUGGGCUUAAAGAGUUCGUAGGCGGCCUUUCAAGUCGGGUGUGAAAUCCCUCGGCUCAACCGAGGAAUUGCGCCUGAUACUGUUGGGCUUGAGGGGGAUAGGGGUGAGCGGAACUGAUGGUGGAGCGGUGAAAUGCGUUGAUAUCAUCAGGAACACCGGUGGCGAAGGCGGCUCACUGGAUCUCUUCUGACGCUGAGGAACGAAAGCUAGGGGAGCGAACGGGAUUAGAUACCCGCGUAGUC
RNAcentral lists this ribosomal RNA (461 nucleotides) under uncultured bacterium. RNAcentral's name for it is "partial 16S ribosomal RNA". It matches the Rfam family "Bacterial small subunit ribosomal RNA", at positions 339 to 795 of the family's 1533-position model. The record is from RNAcentral.